CAUUAGGUGUAAGAAGCCAGCUGUCACGGAGUCGACAGGGUGGGAUUCCGUCAUGUGACAUUCUGGCACUGACCCAAGUCAUCUGUGGUGAAAAAUGCCCGAAAGCACUAAUGAAAUAAUGGAUGAAGGUGAUGAUCGCAGGUGGCUGCUAAGACCAUUAAUUAGGUGAAAGGUUGCUGGCAGGCUCUCCAGAGGAUCAAUCAGGCUGACAACAUCUGAACCCAGUGUUGAAUCUUAACAUCACGGAAAGCAAAACAACCAGACAUGAUGGCAUCUCCUCAUGUGAUGUGAUUGGAAGUUUAGAGUAUCAGAUCUUCUAAAGUAUUCUUGCCAGGAAAGAAGGAAGCUUAGAGACAAUGGAGGUGAGAAGCAAUUUAGAGACAUCAAGAGGUAUCAAUCUGCUAAAUCCAGAUGGUGCAAAAUUUCAUGGGACAAAUGACUUGGUUUCUUCAACAGAUGAAAGGUAUGAAAAUAAUAUAGGUGAAGGGAAAUGUAGAUUAAAAGAUACUUAGG
Molecule: long non-coding RNA, 513 nt
Organism: Fukomys damarensis (Damara mole-rat)
Lineage: Eukaryota; Metazoa; Chordata; Mammalia; Rodentia; Bathyergidae
Exons: 3
Source: RefSeq, a predicted model, not a curated record